Molecule: ribosomal RNA, 613 nt
Filed under: uncultured bacterium
Lineage: Bacteria
Description: bacterial SSU rRNA
Rfam family: Bacterial small subunit ribosomal RNA
Source: RNAcentral
CCUACGGGAGGCAGCAGUGGGGAAUUUUGGACAAUGGGCGCAAGCCUGAUCCAGCAAUGCCGCGUGAGUGAAGAAGGCCUUCGGGUUGUAAAGCUCUUUUGUCAGGGAAGAAACGGCUCCAGCUAAUAUCUGGGGCUAAUGACGGUACCUGAAGAAUAAGCACCGGCUAACUACGUGCCAGCAGCCGCGGUAAUACGUAGGGUGCAAGCGUUAAUCGGAAUUACUGGGCGUAAAGCGUGCGCAGGCGGUUUUGAAGUCUGUCGUGAAAGCCCCGGGCUCAACCUGGGAAUUGCGAUGGAGACUGCAAGGCUUGAAUCUGGCAGAGGGGGGUAGAAUUCCACGUGUAGCAGUGAAAUGCGUAGAGAUGUGGAGGAACACCGAUGGCAAGGCAGCCCCCUGGGUCAAGAUUGACGCUCAUGCACGAAAGCGUGGGGAGCAAACAGGAUUAGAUACCCUGGUAGUCCACGCCCUAAACGAUGUCUACUAGUUNUCGGGUUUUAAUUAACUCGGUAACGCAGCUAACGCGUGAAGUAGACGCCUGGGGAGUACGGUCGCAAAGNUUAAAACCNAAAGUGAUAGAGNGNGAGAGNGCGAGACGACGACGAGGAGGAGG